CGUGUAGGCGGUGCUGUAAGUUGGGCGUGAAAUCCCCGAGCUUAACUCGGGUGGGCCGUUCAAGACUGCCGUGCUAGGGUGCGGGAGAGGGAAGUGGAAUUUCCGGUGUAGCGGUGAAAUGCGUAGAUAUCGGGAGGAACACCUGCGGCGAAGGCGGCUUCCUGGACCGUAACCGACGCUGAGGCGCGAAAGCUAGGGGAGCAAACAGGAUUAGAUACCCUGGUAGUCCUAGCCCUAAACGAUGAGCACUGGGUGUGGCCCCUCACGGGGCCGUGCCGAAGCUAACGCAUUAAGUGCUCCGCCUGGGGAGUACGGUCGCAAGGCUGAA
RNAcentral lists this ribosomal RNA (328 nucleotides) under uncultured bacterium. Its description in RNAcentral is "bacterial SSU rRNA". It matches the Rfam family "Bacterial small subunit ribosomal RNA", at positions 568 to 898 of the family's 1533-position model. The record is from RNAcentral.